Long non-coding RNA from Capra hircus (goat), 332 nucleotides. RefSeq lists it as uncharacterized. Lineage: Eukaryota; Metazoa; Chordata; Mammalia; Artiodactyla; Bovidae. The transcript has 3 exons. The record is from RefSeq and is a predicted model, not a curated record.
CUGCACUGAAGCACCAGGCAGCUGGGCGCUACCUACCCCUUCUGUCACCUCUACAAGACAGGAGCUCUUGAUCUGUUUGCCAAUGAGAUCCAGAAAUUCUUUGCUCUCUGAGGAUGAUGACUGAUUCUAAGGUCCUGGACAUUCACAACAGCCUCCUGGCCACUCUCCUGCCUGCUCUGCUUGCACUUCCUGGCCACCCUGAAACCCACCCUGGAAGACUACCAAAUCUAAAGUAACUUUGUUAUUAAAGGAUAUGCAUAUAUAGAAAAAAUUAGAUAAUGCAGAAGAACAGAUCUGCGAACUAGAAGAGUGAGUAGUGGAAAUCACUAAAA